UAUGCUUAUAUAUUAAGAUUUUACUCAUAUAUAUUAGGUAUGCUUAGUGAAUAAAGUUAUUGAAGGAACAAUAAUGGUAAACACCUUCAACUGUGUAGCAAGGUAAUGAGGUUUGUUUUUGCUUAUUAAGGGAAAGAGAGAGAAAAUUUGUUUUCACAUUAAGUGUGAAGUCAACCCAGAUGUGCAAGAGCAUAGAGAAGGGCAAAAGUCUAGUGUGUAGAUGUUGGAGAAGUAAAAAUCUUGCCAACAAAGAGAGACCUCUCCAGAACCACUACGGAAAGAUACCUGAUUUAUUAUUAAGUUAAUAUAACAGAGUCCUUGCCUGUAGGAAGCCCUCAAGAGACUACAAAGUCACCAUAAAAUUUCACGCAAUUUAUAUAGCAAAGCAGAUACAAAGUUCAUUGGGAACUGAGGUAGGCAUUUACUUAGUUAAUUGUUCUCUUCUAAAAGAAUAAUAUAACUUAUUUCCUCAAGAGACAAAGGGUUAUAUUGUGAGAAACUCCUGAGCUAAUUCUGAGGCUAUGUGUUUAUAUUUCCAGGGGUUAUGAGGCUCCAGACCUUAGAGAAAUCUCUUUAUUAUGAAACCGAAGACUGGGCAUAUCUGGCCCCAGGAGAGAUUCACUUACUUGCUAAAGGCCAGCUAUAUCUUCAAGGAGAUCCUCUCCAGGGGGAAGAACAGAUAAAAGGGGAAGUGGAGGGGAAAGCAGUGGUCUUGACUCCAUUUGCGGAAAGAACAGAAGAAUCUCCCAUUCCGUGGCAUUUCCCAUCCACUGAUGUCAGAACCCCAGUGCCUGAAGCCAGUGUAUUACUUCUCACUCCUUCAGGAGUGGGCAGGGUAACUGAAUUGUGCCUGAAGUUCCUCUCAUUACCUCCUGGCAUGCCAAACGGCCAGAUGGUGUAA
RNAcentral lists this long non-coding RNA (901 nucleotides) under Felis catus (domestic cat). Its description in RNAcentral is "lncRNA (ENSFCAG00000044354.2)". The record is from RNAcentral. Lineage: Eukaryota; Metazoa; Chordata; Mammalia; Carnivora; Felidae.